GCAUUGUUGAGGAGUCUCACAAUAGGACGAAAUGACCAUCCAAUGC
Schistosoma curassoni is the source of this 46-nucleotide non-coding RNA. The record is from Rfam. NCBI's taxonomy places the organism in Eukaryota, Metazoa, Platyhelminthes, Trematoda, Strigeidida, Schistosomatidae.